Molecule: non-coding RNA, 24 nt
Filed under: Arabidopsis thaliana (thale cress)
Lineage: Eukaryota; Viridiplantae; Streptophyta; Magnoliopsida; Brassicales; Brassicaceae
Source: RNAcentral
UGGAUAAGGUUCCAGAUUGUUCUG